AACGCUAGCUACAGGCUUAACACAUGCAAGUCGAGGGGCAGCACGAACUUAGCUUGCUAAGUUUGAUGGCGACCGGCGCACGGGUGAGUAACACGUAUCCAACCUGCCGAUGACUCGGGGAUAGCCUUUCGAAAGAAAGAUUAAUACCCGAUGGCAUAGUUCUUCCGCAUGGUAGAACUAUUAAAGAAUUUCGGUCAUCGAUGGGGAUGCGUUCCAUUAGGUUGUUGGCGGGGUAACGGCCCACCAAGCCUUCGAUGGAUAGGGGUUCUGAGAGGAAGGUCCCCCACAUUGGAACUGAGACACGGUCCAAACUCCUACGGGAGGCAGCAGUGAGGAAUAUUGGUCAAUGGACGAGAGUCUGAACCAGCCAAGUAGCGUGAAGGAUGACUGCCCUAUGGGUUGUAAACUUCUUUUAUACGGGAAUAAAGUGAGGCACGUGUGCCUUUUUGUAUGUACCGUAUGAAUAAGGAUCGGCUAACUCCGUGCCAGCAGCCGCGGUAAUACGGAGGAUCCGAGCGUUAUCCGGAUUUAUUGGGUUUAAAGGGAGCGUAGGCGGACGCUUAAGUCAGUUGUGAAAGUUUGCGGCUCAACCGUAAAAUUGCAGUUGAUACUGGGUGUCUUGAGUACAGUAGAGGCAGGCGGAAUUCGUGGUGUAGCGGUGAAAUGCUUAGAUAUCACGAAGAACUCCGAUUG
RNAcentral lists this ribosomal RNA (693 nucleotides) under uncultured bacterium. RNAcentral's name for it is "bacterial SSU rRNA". It matches the Rfam family "Bacterial small subunit ribosomal RNA", at positions 32 to 715 of the family's 1533-position model. The record is from RNAcentral.